CUAAAUUCUCUACCCAAUUCCAGUUUCUAAGUACUAACAUUUUUCUAAUUUUAUAUGUAAGGAUUUUGAGAAUUUUAUUUGAUUACUCUCCAGUCAAACAGCAACUUUUUGGAAACUAUAUAACAAAGUGAUUCAGUAGUGAGUUCAAAGAGGGAAGAGGAGGAAGGAAAGGAAAUGUGAUUUUGACUCUAUAAGCUGCAGGGCCAUCGAAGGGUGGACAACAUUAAGAUUUAUUUGGGACAUGUAAUAUCUAAUUGGUGAGUUUAUUUGAUCUUGGCAGUAUAUAUAAUAAUGACAAAAUACUGACUAUCACUUUAAUAUUAUUUACGACAUGCUGUGCUAUCUUAAUGAAUAUUUAGUGAGGUUUUUUCUGUGCACUUUCUAUGCCAGAAGUAUAGUCUAAAGAAUAUGGAUUUAAGCUCGGUUGAGCUGUACUUUGAAAAGUUACUCCAUGAACAUGGUUUGUUCAUCUCUAACUUUCAAAUCUAAUGGGAACAAGUUGCAAAUAGGAGAUUUAUUUCCCCUCACUGCUAAUCCUUGUUAUCUUGGGUCAUGCCUGCAGUUAGUUAUCAGUGCCCUGCAGCCCAGAGCUGUGUGUGGAGGUGAUGACAUCUACCCCAUGCACUGUAUUGCACACUGGUAGUUGGUAACCUACUAAUUGCGUUAAAUCAUAUCUUGCUCUAUGUUAGUUCUCCCUCCCUCUUGGAGAGAAAUACUGUUAACAAAAAAAAGAAUAGCUCAAUUUUGUCAUGAAGAGUUGUCAGCAUAGCACUGUGAAUAUGUAGGGGGAAAAUUAACAAAGCAAGAAUUGCAUCUCAGCUUAAGGCAGCAGCAGUUUCUGAUGCUUGCCUCGGUGCUGUGCAGUCUUCCAUGGGAAGCAGAUACCUGGGGAGAAAUAUAAGCAUAGGGCAAGCAUCAAGUGAUACUUUGCAGAAAAGCAGUACACAUCUCAAAAGGCUCAGUUUCAGGCUUGCUUAUUGCAUGUGGUAAAUGUAUCAAACCGGGAUAAAACUCUGAAACCUUAUGCUGCCUUUUUUGACUUGCAGAUGUAGAUUUUGGUUUUAUUAUCUUAUUUUCAGUAGUAUAUGCCAGUACUGCAUUUUUAUAGAGGAGUUUCUUCCUGUUUGGUUGGGGCAGCUGAGCUGUGUGUAGUCCCAAAACCUGGGUGGCUCUGGGGCUCCUGCUCGCCCAGGCUUACUGGGUUUCAGAGACUGUGUUAAUGGCUCUAUCUUGUGGCUCGAAGUGGAGUUGCAGACCACGUACUUGUGCUUUCUGGGUUGAUUAAGGUCUUGGGUCCACCUGCGAAAGAGUUCCUGAAAUUUAA
Molecule: long non-coding RNA, 1324 nt
Organism: Strigops habroptila (Kakapo)
Lineage: Eukaryota; Metazoa; Chordata; Aves; Psittaciformes; Psittacidae
Exons: 2
Source: RefSeq, a predicted model, not a curated record